CAGCAGCAGCCACGGUAAUACAGAGGGUGCGAGCGUUAAUCGGAUUUACUGGGCGUAAAGCGUGCGUAGGCGGCUUCUUAAGUCGGAUGUGAAAUCCCUGAGCUUAACUUAGGAAUUGCAUUCGAUACUGGGAAGCUAGAGUAUGGGAGAGGAUGGUAGAAUUCCAGGUGUAGCGGUGAAAUGCGUAGAGAUCUGGAGGAAUACCGAUGGCGAAGGCAGCCAUCUGGCCUAAUACUGACGCUGAGGUACGAAAGCAUGGGGAGCAAACAGGAUUAGAUACCCGAGUAGUCCCUGUCUCUUAUAC
This 304-nucleotide ribosomal RNA is filed under the name uncultured bacterium. RNAcentral describes it as "partial 16S ribosomal RNA". It matches the Rfam family "Bacterial small subunit ribosomal RNA", at positions 506 to 807 of the family's 1533-position model. The record is from RNAcentral.